This 659-nucleotide ribosomal RNA is filed under the name uncultured actinomycete. Its description in RNAcentral is "bacterial SSU rRNA". It matches the Rfam family "Bacterial small subunit ribosomal RNA", at positions 229 to 900 of the family's 1533-position model. The record is from RNAcentral. Lineage: Bacteria; Bacillati; Actinomycetota; Actinomycetes; Actinomycetales.
AUUCGCGGCCUAUCAGCUUGUUGGUGGGGUAACGGCCCACCAAGGCAACGAUGGGUAGCCGGCCUGAGAGGGUGACCGGCCACAUUGGGACUGAGAUACGGCCCAGACUCCUACGGGAGGCAGCAGUAGGGAAUCUUGCGCAAUGGGCGAAAGCCUGACGCAGCAACGCCGCGUGGGGGAUGAAGGCCCUCGGGUUGUAAACCCCUUUCAGCAGGGACGAAAAUGGCGGUACCUGCAGAAGAAGCCCCGGCCAACUACGUGCCAGCAGCCGCGGUAAUACGCAGGGGGCAAGCGUUGUCCGGAAUUAUUGGGCGUAAAGAGCUCGUAGGCGGUUCGGUAAGUCGGGUGUGAAAAUCCAGGGCUCAACCCUGGGACGCCACCCGAUACUGCUGUGACUGGAGUCCGGUAGAGGAGUGUGGAAUUCCUGGUGUAGCGGUGAAAUGCGCAGAUAUCAGGAGGAACACCAGCGGCGAAGGCGGCACUCUGGGCCGGUACUGACGCUGAGGAGCGAAAGCGUGGGGAGCAAACAGGAUUAGAUACCCUGGUAGUCCACGCCGUAAACGUUGGGCACUAGGUAUGGGGUCUUAUCAACGGAUUCCGUGCCGUAGCUAACGCAUUAAGUGCCCCGCCUGGGGAGUACGGAAUCGUCGACCGCAGGC